RNAcentral lists this unclassified non-coding RNA (604 nucleotides) under Hevea brasiliensis (rubber tree). The record is from RNAcentral. Lineage: Eukaryota; Viridiplantae; Streptophyta; Magnoliopsida; Malpighiales; Euphorbiaceae.
AAUCAAAAUCAAAUGAGAAACAUGAAGAAUUGUUUGCAUCAUCCACUUUGAUUAGAAAUGUGGACCAAACAUUGACCUCUAAGAGGCCUAGACUCUCAACAAGUGAGAACAAGAAGGAUGUUGUGCAUAUCAAUGGUGUGCGAAAGGGCCCAAUAAAUUGGUCUACGCCGAAGUCGAGUAGAUCAUCGCCCAACAAAUCAGUUAGGGACUCGAGUGCCUACAGUGUAAAGCAGUCAUGCAUGAUGCCACCGCCAGCAAAGGUUCUGAAUAGAGCUUGCAACGGCCAACAAAAGGUACGUAAAUUAAUGCGAAUGGAUUGGAACCGGGAACGUGACAGGCAGGAUUGAUAAAAUGCCAUUCCCAGUUAUUGGGAUGAGUCAUUGCUGGCGCUGCAUGACCUGCCAAACUGGGUUGAUGUAUAUAGCGGGGUUGUUGUAGGGUUACACUGUAGGUGAGAUGGAAUCUGUUGUAACCGUUGAUCGAGCGUUGAACAGGGAUGUUGUAACAUUAAGGAGACUUGUAGUUCACAGCAGAGAAAUUCUUUGCCUUGUGUAGAGCAUUUAUGAGGCAAUAGAAAUUUCUCUGCUGUGAACUACAAGUCUCC